This 210-nucleotide long non-coding RNA is filed under the name Capsicum annuum. RNAcentral's name for it is "long non-coding RNA (CANN_LNC009997)". The record is from RNAcentral. Lineage: Eukaryota; Viridiplantae; Streptophyta; Magnoliopsida; Solanales; Solanaceae.
UUUUUCUAGACAAGCCAAAAGAGGAAAGAGGGACAAGACCUCUAAAAGGUUGUCUUGCCAAAAAGGUGAAAGUUGGUCAAGGUUUGAAUUUUGAAAAAAAGGACUUAAAGUCUUGUUUUUUAACCUACCAAAACCGAAAUUCCCCCCAUCUUUGUGAAAUUUGAACAACCAAAAUUGUGGAACAAAAUUUUUCAACUUUAACAAUGUUUU